UGUAUCAUAGCCAAUGAGGUUAAUCCGAGGCAUGAUUAUUGCUAGUUGAAAACUUAUCCCUUC
RNAcentral lists this small nuclear RNA (63 nucleotides) under Chrysemys picta bellii (western painted turtle). RNAcentral describes it as "U4 spliceosomal RNA (ENSCPBG00000024405.1)". It matches the Rfam family "U4 spliceosomal RNA", at positions 19 to 79 of the family's 138-position model. From Rfam's summary of the family: U4 small nuclear RNA (U4 snRNA) is a component of the major U2-dependent spliceosome. The structure of U4 snRNA from yeast and human has been reported. U4 snRNA presents a k-turn RNA motif in the 5p-SL related to recognition of Snu13 protein. Lineage: Eukaryota; Metazoa; Chordata; Testudines; Emydidae. The record is from RNAcentral.